Long non-coding RNA from Gallus gallus (chicken), 2521 nucleotides. RefSeq lists it as uncharacterized. The record is from RefSeq and is a predicted model, not a curated record. The transcript is spliced from 2 exons. Lineage: Eukaryota; Metazoa; Chordata; Aves; Galliformes; Phasianidae.
GUCGGUGCGGGACGCUGUGCGGUGCGGUGCGGUGAUUUCGCGAUGCGCAGCGCCGGCAGUGCCUCCUCACCGCGGUCCCUCCACGCACCCAGCACAGCGGUUCUGAAAACGCGUAGACACGUGCGUGUGUGCCUGUUUUCCCCUAAGCCCGUAACAGGGAGGGCAGAAUGCAUUUCCAAGCACCAGAAAAAUCAUAGACCUGUGGACUUAUCAGAGAUGCUAGAAUCCAAAGAGCAGAACUUGGUCAACAUUCCCGUGUUCUCUGGAGAUGAAGGAUGGGCUGACUCUCCUUUCCUUCUUUAUUAGCUCAAGAAUGACAUUCCCGGAAAAAAAAAAAUCAGUUCUGAAGAAUGUAGAAGAUGGAUUCCAAAUCAAGCCUACACUUCUCCACCUUCUCAGUAUGAAUCUCUCCCACCCAAAGCAAACCCAGGGGAGCAGCUUCUGAUUCCUCUUUCAGGUGCACAAAGGCAGCCUCUCCCUAAAAUACCACAUUCUAACGUACUAUCUUCACUUGUUGUUAAUAAACCUGCUCCAUCCAGGUGUACUUUUAAAUACUGACAUGCACUUAAGAGGCACACUACAUUGAAGCUAUGGUAAAACUCUACCCAAGUACAAGCUAAAAAUAGUUCAUCUCUCUUUCUUCCAUAUAAAACAUGGAAAACUGAGUUAAUCUGAGUAGAACAUGCUCAGUGAGAAUAAAAGUGUGUUACACGUUACCCAAUGCAUUUGCAUUACGUGCAAAUAUGCAGUGUGUAUAUUUAUUACAUAGUAAUGUGCAUACAUACGCAAGUGCAUAGUUAUUACAUAGUAAGUUUCUCCAAUCCAAGCCACCAAUUCAAAAUAAGAAAAUCCAGCAAAGUUUUAGCCUACUCAAAGAUGUUAAAGAAACAGAGGGAUCUGAAUACAUCCCAAGAAAGACAGAAAGAAUUAACAAGGUCCCACAUGAAGACAAGUAGAUAUACAUAUCUGGGAGGUAAAUGGUGAAAAGAUGGAUAUAAUAUUCAUCAUUAAUUAUUAUAUUCUUGUUCUGAAUGCUCCAUGGCAGUAAUAGGAAUAUUUUACAAGGAUUAAGGAGGAUCUUUAGCCUGGAAGUAUUAAAUAAUUGUGGAGUGACCUAGCAUUUAUCCUUUGUCUUAGAAUAGCAUCUAGGAGCAAUGAUUAAGUGCUAACUGGAAUAAAUACAGCUAGCUCUUUUCAACCUCAAGAUUUGCCACAUAGGGGGAAAAAAAAAGAGAAAAAAUGGCUGGAUGAAAAUAUGAAGUAAGCCUUUUUACAGGACUUGUAGUAAUUAUAUCUUCGGUAUUUUUCUUCUUUGACCAUCUUUUAUGCACACUGGAAACAAGGAUCUCAUCUCAUGUCCUUCAGAAGAACGUGUUUUCAAAAUGUGAAGAAUCCAGCCAUCCCAUAAUUCUGUCCCUCUGUUACCUGUCGAUUCAAGCUCUGUAUGGUUAAUGUAACUUGAAGGAGGAAGGCAGGUCUUAGGGCUGGAAUACAAAUUUGAGUAUUAAGAAAGAUACUUCAGAUUUACUUUUAACAUGAUGGGAAUUCAUUUUCUGAUUUGUGCUAAAUAUCACCUGGCUUUAGGUCUCAUAAUUUAUCUCACGUAUCAUGUCUAGGGUGUAGCAAAUGACCCAUCUAUGACCGUGGAAACAUUUGGAAAGAAAAAUGAGUGGAGAUUUUGUUCUAUCGAGACAGCACUGAAGCACACCCGUUCCUAUCAAUAGGAUCUAUUUCUAGACCAUUAAAAUCAAAUCCAUCCCAUCUAAAAUGUAGAAUUUUGGCCCCUCAUAGAGGUGGAGUUUGGUAGAUAUGGACAUUUAUGCUACGGAUCCAGUAGUUUCAGCUCUUAAGUUUUCAUCAGUGAGUUACUAUGUCACAACCUCUGAAUGACCAAAUGGGAAUUGUGAAAAGGUGCCUAACAUUUCAGAAUGCAACUGGUCUGCAGCUGGCAGGCAUUUCCUCAGUUCAGACAAAAAAUAAAGUCACUAAAAAUCAACAGCUGAAUGAAUAUUCAAAGGCAUUUUGAAGAUGGAGGUGUAGGAAAUAAAAAUAACCAAUUUUUGAAUUAAUCUAAAAAAAAAUGGAAUGUAAAUAGUUUAUUUCACUGGACUUGCAUUUUCUUGGUUUCAGUGUCUAUUGACUAUGAGGAAAAAUGUGUAGAAGACUUAAAUAGUACUUCAUAGCUUUAUUCUCAGGCUGUCAAAUGUAUUCCUUGGGAUUGGGAUUUUUCAAGGGGUUUCAAUUCAUUCAAUUGAUUAUAAAAGCCAAAUAUAUAUAUAUAUAUAUAUAUAUAUAUAUAUAUAUAUAUAUAUAUUCAUUUUGGUGGUGGAGGAUGGUGGUGUAAACCCCUAAGGAACUUCAGGAUAUCGAAGAAUCUGUCCUAGCUCUCUGAGAACAAAUGAAGUGUAUAUAUAAGUUUGAACCUGCGAUCCAGUACGUAAUUACCUUACAGAAUAUUUCCCAGUUGUUAAUCCAAAGUUUACAUGCUGUGAAUUAAGCCAUUUUCCUUUUUUUUUUUUUU